GACGAACGCUGGCGGCGUGCUUAGCACAUGCAAGUCGAACGGAAAGGCCCUGCUUUUGUGGGGUGCUCGAGUGGCGAACGGGUGAGUAACACGUGAGUAACCUGCCCUUGACUUUGGGAUAACUUCAGGAAACUGGGGCUAAUACCGGAUAGGAGCUCCUGCUGCAUGGUGGGGGUUGGAAAGUUUCGGCGGUUGGGGAUGGACUCGCGGCUUAUCAGCUUGUUGGUGGGGUAGUGGCUUACCAAGGCUUUGACGGGUAGCCGGCCUGAGAGGGUGACCGGCCACAUUGGGACUGAGAUACGGCCCAGACUCCUACGGGAGGCAGCAGUGGGGAAUAUUGCACAAUGGGCGGAAGCCGGAUGCAGCAACGCCGCGUGCGGGAUGACGGCCUUCGGGUUGUAAACCGCUUUCGCCUGUGACGAAGCGUGAGUGACGGUAAUGGGUAAAGAAGCACCGGCUAACUACGU
RNAcentral lists this ribosomal RNA (467 nucleotides) under uncultured bacterium. Its description in RNAcentral is "partial 16S ribosomal RNA". It matches the Rfam family "Bacterial small subunit ribosomal RNA", at positions 28 to 506 of the family's 1533-position model. The record is from RNAcentral.